Molecule: ribosomal RNA, 451 nt
Filed under: Trox niponensis
Lineage: Eukaryota; Metazoa; Arthropoda; Insecta; Coleoptera; Trogidae
Description: partial 16S ribosomal RNA
Rfam family: Archaeal large subunit ribosomal RNA (bases 1-165)
Source: RNAcentral
UCGCCUGUUUAACAAAAACAUGUCUUUUUGAUUAUAAUUUAAAGUCUAACCUGCCCAAUGAAUUAUUUGAAUGGCCGCGGUAAUUUGACCGUGCUAAGGUAGCAUAAUAAUUAGUUUUUUAAUUGGAAACUGGUAUGAAUGGUUGGACGAGGAAAAAACUGUCUCAAUUUAAUUUAAUUAGAAUUUUAUUUUUAAGUAAAAAAGCUUAAAUAUUUUUAAAAGACGAGAAGACCCUAUAGAGUUUUAUAUUUUUUUAUAAUUUAAAUUAUUAGAAUUUUUUUUUUAAUUUUUAGAAAAGUAUUUUGUUGGGGUGAUAGGAAAAUUAAAUUAACUUUUCUUUAUGUUUUAUCAUUAAUGAAUGAGUAAAUGAUCCAUUUUUUAUGAUUAUAAGAUUAAAUUACCUUAGGGAUAACAGCGUAAGUUUUUUUAAGAGUUCUUAUCGAAAAAAGAG